Non-coding RNA from Heterocephalus glaber (naked mole-rat), 421 nucleotides. Lineage: Eukaryota; Metazoa; Chordata; Mammalia; Rodentia; Bathyergidae. The record is from RefSeq and is a predicted model, not a curated record.
CAGAAGAACAUCUUUGCACAUUUGAAAAUUGGAGAUGGUGAUUCAUCUGUUCAGGAGACCUGCUGUUUAUUCAACCACGGGGCAAUUGUUGGUUUGUGGGCUUCUUGGAGCAAUUUUGCAGCACUGUCCCAAAGGUGACCCUCACCUCAUCACCUCUACUCUGGGUGAUGGAAAGCUACUGGAGAGUCUAUACAAGAUUAUCCCACACAGAUCUGUUGGAAUUACUCCGUGAUGAUUUCAAAGAAAAACUUCUUCUCUAAACUUUCUUAUCCCAAGUGCCUGUCUCUCAACAUCUUCUGUGAAAUUUUAUGAAGCUUUGAAGUCCUAGUUCCAAGUAAACAAAUCAGCAUUUACUUUCCUCAACUCAUCAUGAUAGUAUUAAAUAUCUUCCCCAAGACUUAAACUUUCUCUUCUAACAUUG